RNAcentral lists this ribosomal RNA (498 nucleotides) under uncultured bacterium. RNAcentral's name for it is "partial 16S ribosomal RNA". It matches the Rfam family "Bacterial small subunit ribosomal RNA", at positions 28 to 507 of the family's 1533-position model. The record is from RNAcentral.
GACGAACGCUGGCGGCGUGCCUAAUACAUGCAAGUCGAACGAGAGCGCCCGGUGCUUGCACUGGUCAAUCUAGUGGCGAACGGGUGAGUAACACGUGGGUAACCUGCUCAUCAGAGGGGGAUAACAUCCGGAAACGGAUGCUAAAACCGCAUAGGUCUUCGAGCCGCAUGGCUUGAAGAGGAAAAGAGGCGCAAGCUUCUGCUGAUGGAUGGACCCGCGGUGCAUUAGCUAGUUGGUGAGGUAACGGCUCACCAAGGCCGUGAUGCAUAGCCGACCUGAGAGGGUGAUCGGCCACAUUGGGACUGAGACACGGCCCAAACUCCUACGGGAGGCAGCAGUAGGGAAUCUUCCGCAAUGGACGCAAGUCUGACGGAGCAACGCCGCGUGAGUGAAGAAGGUUUUCGGAUCGUAAAACUCUGUUGUUAGAGAAGAACAAGUGCUAGAGUAACUGUUAGCGACUUGACGGUAUCUAACCAGAAAGCCACGGCUAACUACGUG